This is a long non-coding RNA of Cebus imitator (Panamanian white-faced capuchin), 820 nucleotides long. RefSeq lists it as uncharacterized. The record is from RefSeq and is a predicted model, not a curated record. NCBI's taxonomy places the organism in Eukaryota, Metazoa, Chordata, Mammalia, Primates, Cebidae. The transcript is spliced from 3 exons.
CUCAGGAAUGAAGCUUUUGUAGCAGGUGGACAGAGGCCACUGGAGGGGGCUUUCUUGAUCAUCUGCUUUAAGGGAUAAACUUUGCUUGUCCCCUCCUCCAACUAAGGAAGGUGUCAGUAGAGGAGAAGAAAGCUAGUCUGGAGUUGUGGGGGCUAAGAAUUGACAAAUGGAUAUCGUGGUUUUGAGAGCUAGCCAAUUCCAGGGAAUGAAAGAGAAAGAAUGUCCAGGCGAGAAAUAAUGAUGGAAGAAGGGAAUGUGAAGAGAGAAUGAAAACAAGAGAAUAAAGGAACCAGGGAAGAAGCAGAUCCCAAAAAUGUUGUGAAGUUUUGAGGGGGUUGAUGAGCUUCUAUUUCACGUUAUGAGAUGAUAAAACUAUUGUGUUAGGAGAAGAAAUAGGCUAUAUAUUUGAAUCAUUCAUAAUAGUUUUUUGCCAACAAAAUACUAUGUUAUUAACUAAACAUUGACCUUACGGCAAAUUAAAUACAGUAUUAACAAGAAAGAAGAAGAGAAGGGAACCAUGGGUAAUGUACAACAAUUUGAACGCAUUUCAGUGAAUCACAGAGGCACAUAGGAUUGGGUGAGGAAAGGAAAGAGAGUAAGGCUAGAAGAUUAAUAAUAAACCCUCUUUGUAAAACACAGUAUUUUAAAAUGUGCGUAAUACUGAAUCACCUGGGUGUCUUACUGGACAUUUGCUGAAGGUUGCUUUGUCUGUGUGUGUGUGUGUGUGUGUGUGUGUGUGUGUAUUAUUGGUUCUGGGAAAUAAACAUGGAAAAUAUUUUCAGAGAUGAGAACUAAUAUGUCAAACCUUAGACUCUAUACA